RNAcentral lists this long non-coding RNA (3960 nucleotides) under Carica papaya (papaya). Its description in RNAcentral is "long non-coding RNA (CPAP_LNC005988)". The record is from RNAcentral. Lineage: Eukaryota; Viridiplantae; Streptophyta; Magnoliopsida; Brassicales; Caricaceae.
GCCAACACUGUCGUGCCCCAGCAACGACGGGACAAAGUUCUGGACACAUGAAUGGAUCAAACAUGGCACCUGCUCCGAGUCCGAACUUGACCAGCAUGAAUACUUUGAGGCAGCUCUCAAAUUGAAAGACAAAAUUAAUCUCCUCAAAAUUCUUAAUAAUGCAGGUAAUACUAAUUAAUUUCAUUCCAAAAAUUUUUCUAUGUAAAAUGAUAUAUAUAUUUGUUAUAUAAUUCUUUUAAAAUUGUUACAGGAAUUGAAGCAGAUGAUGGGUUCUACGAAUUGGAUGAAAUUAGGAAAGCAAUAGAAGAGGAAAGUGGAGUUAGUGUUGGAAUAGAAUGCAAUGUGGAUUCAUAUGGGAAUAGUCAACUGUACCAGAUUUACAUGUGCGUUGACACCUCUGGCUCUCAGUUCAUACAAUGCCCAUUGCUACCAAGACAUAGAUGUGGCUCCUCUAUCCAAUUUCCCAAGUUUUAGGUCUCUUGUGUUUUCCCUUAUAUACAUACAUACAUAUAUAUAUAUAUAUGUAUCUAUUCACAAUCCCAACUUCUAUUGACUCACAUAAUUCCUACUUUAUAUAUAUAUAUAUAUAUAUAUAUAUAUAUGUUUGAGGAUGAAUAAUAGAUUAUUGUUGAAAAUAAUAAUUUGAAAAUUAAUGGAACUCAUUGUCUUACUAAUAAGUUAAUCUAUUUCUUUUAAGUUUUUUUAACUGAUUUAUGUAUUAAAAUUAAAUACAUGUUUUUACCGUUUUUUUUAUAUGAUUUACGUAUUGAAUUUAGAUAUGAUGGUUAAAAAUUUUUUAUUUUAUUUAAAAGUUAAGAGUUUAAAACUCACUAAAAACAUAAAACUCAAUUUUGUAGGUGCAUCAUGAAUGUAUUAAUGGAACUGUAAUGACUAAAUAUUAGUAUAUUGGUAGAGUUGUGAUGACUAAGUUAAAUUAAAUCUCAACGAGUGUAUUAUAUUUUUUUAUGAAAGUAGUAUUUUAUAAAGUCACAAUGACCAAUAUAUAAUGUUUGAUUCAUUUGAAUUGAAAACUUAACUUAUUAAUAUAUUAAUAAGUCACGAUAAUUAAGAACUAGUAUAUUAGUAAAAUUGCAGUUGCUAAAUUAAGUUAAGUCUCAUCGAGUUUUAUUACAUCUCUGGACAAAAGUAAUAUUUUGUUAUAUUACAGUAACCAAAUUGAGUUAAAUAUAAGUGAUUUUAUUACAUUUUUUGACAAAAAAAAAUUAUGUAAAACUAUUAUAACUAAGUUGAGUUAAGUCUUCUUGCAUUUAUUAUAUUUUUAGAUGAAAAUAAUAUUCGAUGGUAAGCACGAUAUAUUAAGAAUAUGAUCUACUUUUUUAAGUUAAAACACUUUUAUUAUAUAUAUUUAACUAUAUUGUUCGUAUAUAUAAAGUUGAUAAUUAAAAAUAUAUCAAAGGAUUGUUGGAGAGUGGAAAGUUUAAAUAAAAUCACAAUCAACCUAAUGAAUUUUUAUUACAUUUUUUGACAAAAAAAAAUUAUGUAAAACUAUUAUAACUAAGUUGAGUUAAGUCUUCUUGCAUUUAUUAUAUUUUUAGAUGAAAAUAAUAUUCGAUGGUAAGCACGAUAUAUUAAGAAUAUGAUCUACUUUUUUAAGUUAAAACACUUUUAUUAUAUAUAUUUAACUAUAUUGUUCGUAUAUAUAAAGUUGAUAAUUAAAAAUAUAUCAAAGGAUUGUUGGAGAGUGGAAAGUUUAAAUAAAAUCACAAUCAACCUAAUGAAUUUUUAUAAUUUUGAAAACAUUUUUUUUUUUUUGGCAAUCUUACAAUUACAUUUGAGUAAGAAUUUAAAAAUAAGUUUCACUUUAUUUAUUAAUUUAUUCCAAAACAUAAACAAUUUAUAGAAUUAAGUAAGCAUGGUUUGCUAUUAAUAAAUAAAUAUUACGAGUUUAUAAACAAAAUGCAUAGAUUAAUACUUGAUACUUUAGGAACAAAUUUUUUUAAUCUAUAUAUUUAUAAAAUAAAAUUAGUAAAUCACUAAGUUUAAAUUCAUAUAAUUAUAUAUCGUAAAAUAAAAUUAGUUAUUUUUUAAUAUUAAAUUAAAUUUUAAAUACGUUAUGAUUAUUUCAAUUAAGUAAAUUUAUAAUUAAAGAUGAAUACUUGUUUUUUUUUCUGUUCAUUGUUCAUCUCAAUGUCUUUUUUUACACAAAUUAUUAGAAAUUCAUAUAUUAAUAUAUAAUUCAUAUAUAAAUAUUAAUUAGUUAAUUUUUAAAUAUUAAUAUAUAUAUAACAACACAUACAAUCACGUUAAUAAAUAACGAAUGUAAAAAUUUAUACGGCAUAAAUAUUUUUUGUAAAUUGAAUACAAACAAAUAUGAUUGAAAUGAUAAAAACCUACACAUAACAACCAUAAUUUAUUAAACAUUACAUUUAAAGCUAUCAGAGCUUAUAAUAAUACCCACAAGCAACUUCAAAAGACAUUUAAUAAACCAAAUAAGAUAAGAACUUGAAGCUUCCCAUACACGUAAAAAUAAAAAUUUAUAGUUGCGGAAUCGAAAAUGUAAGUAUAAUUUAUUUAAUUAUGCUUUAAAAUAUAUAUGUAUUAUGAUUAAAUAAUGAUGGAAUAAUAUAUUUUAUAUCUGUUUCUUUUAUAAAAUAAUAAUAAUAAUAAUAAUGAAAUAAGAACGAGGAAGAACGUGUGAACCAGGGUUUUGGAGAUGCAUGUACGUAAUGACAAUAAAAUAGUAACUUGCAAGCUUGGCGACCGCGUAGCUUCUGCUUCUCGCAUAUUCCUAUGACAGAUCCUUCAGCAUUUUUUUUCCCAUAAAUCCUCUGCUAGCGUAUAUAUGUGUGUGUGUGUGUGUGUGUGUAGCAUCCUGUCUCAUCUUCAAAACUCAACGAGCAAGAUUCUGUAAAGAAAAAAGAUAUGAAGCUCAACUAUUCCGCCAUUGUCAACCUUCUCAUCAUAUUACAAUUUCUAUCACUAGAUUGUUUCUCUCUCAGUCAGGACUUUGAUUUCUUCUACUUUGUUCAACAGGUACACCUAUAUAUAUAUGUGUGUGUGUGUGUGUGUGUCUAGUUAAUUGUGUAUGUAUAUGAUAUGAUAUGAUAUGAUAUGAUGUAUGUAUAUGUGCAUACAGUGGCCGGGAUCAUAUUGUGACACAAAGCAUAGCUGUUGCUAUCCGAAAUCUGGAAAGCCAGCUGCUGAUUUUGGGAUUCACGGACUUUGGCCUAACUACAACGACGGCUCCUACCCAUCAAACUGUAAUCCUGAUAGCGUCUUUGACAAAUCUCAGGUAUUAUAUCUACAUACCAAUAUUCUAUCUAUCUGUACAUAUAUAUAUAUAUAUAUAUGCAUAUAUUUAUUAUAGCCUUUAUGGGGUGCCUAACCUUUGAAUCUCUAUCUGUGUAUAUAUAUAUAUGUAUAUAUAUGUAUAUGCAUAUAUGUGGUAUACAAUCUAAAUGUUUAUUUGAACGUGCCCUUAAUCGUAGUAUUGUAACUAUGUUAAGAAUAAUAUUUCAUUUCCAAAUUUCAUCUCAACUACUUGUAUAUAUAAAUGCCUAUUUGAGCCUUGAAUAUUGCAGUAAAUACUAAUUGCUCAUCUGGGUUUACUCUAACAUAGCUGAUUUUUAUAUGCGUAUAAAUAUAUGAGUUUAAUAAUACGUGGGUAUGUAUGUAUGUAUGUAUGUAUGUAUAUAUAUUGUGGUAUAUAUUGGUAGAUCUCAGACCUGAAAAGCAGUUUGGAAAAGAAUUGGCCAACACUGUCGUGUCCCAGCAACGACGGUACAAAGUUCUGGACACAUGAAUGGGUCAAACAUGGCACCUGCUCCGAGUCCGAACUUGACCAACGUGAAUACUUUGAGGCAGCUCUCAAAUUGAAAGACAAAAUUAAUCUCCUCAAAAUUCUUAAUAUUGCAGGUAAUACUAAUUAAUUUUAUUUAUGUAAUAUAAUAUUUCUUUUAUAUGUCUAUAUAUAUAUUUAUAGUUUAAAUUGUUACAGGA